GAGGUUGUGGCUCAGCGGUGGAGCACUUGCCUAGCAUGCGUGAGGCACUGGGUUUGAUCCUCAGCACCACA
Molecule: transfer RNA, 71 nt
Filed under: Marmota monax (woodchuck)
Lineage: Eukaryota; Metazoa; Chordata; Mammalia; Rodentia; Sciuridae
Description: tRNA.Ala
Source: RNAcentral